This is a long non-coding RNA of Cyprinus carpio (common carp), 159 nucleotides long. RefSeq lists it as uncharacterized. Lineage: Eukaryota; Metazoa; Chordata; Actinopteri; Cypriniformes; Cyprinidae. The transcript has 3 exons. The record is from RefSeq and is a predicted model, not a curated record.
GAAACACAACAGUGUAAAUCUGCUGGAAGUGAUCCUGAAAGCAAUCCAUUUCUGAAGACAGAAGGAAAUGAAGAGCAUGGAUAUGAGAUUUUAUAAUUCCCCAGUGAAAAUGAGAAAUGAACCCAUGUCUGUUGAGUUGGUAAACUCUCAUGUAUAAAA